GAACUUUGAAAGUCCAUAGACUGCACCUGGAAUGAGACAGGGAAGAGUUGCCUGGCCUCUGUGCACGGACAGCAUAUAAAUUUGGGAAAUGUUCUGCGCUUGU
RNAcentral lists this small nuclear RNA (103 nucleotides) under Crocodylus porosus (Australian saltwater crocodile). The record is from RNAcentral. Lineage: Eukaryota; Metazoa; Chordata; Crocodylia; Crocodylidae.